RNAcentral lists this ribosomal RNA (342 nucleotides) under Triticum aestivum (bread wheat). Its description in RNAcentral is "partial small subunit ribosomal RNA". The record is from RNAcentral. Lineage: Eukaryota; Viridiplantae; Streptophyta; Magnoliopsida; Poales; Poaceae.
AUGUCCGAGAUCACUGAGGUCCGAGGGGGAGGGGCCGUUCCGUGCUUGCGCCCCGGUACACAGCUCAGUGCGUGGGGAAGCCCCUGUUUUCUGGAAGCCCCGUGGAGCAUGGAAGGCAAGCUGGAGAUGCAUAUCUCCCUCGACCUUACGCGGAGGGCAGCAACUAGAGGUUCAAACCACUCAAAACAUGUGAGAUUUGAGCGUAAUAAUGGGAUUCACCAGCGUCACAGCAGCACUGGCAUGGAUGAUGCCAGCUGUUGUGGCAACCAGCCCAGGAGUGAGCUCGCGCUGCAUGCACGCCAGUGGCCAGCACGACUACUACCUCAUCUCCCUCCUGCAUGA